UGGGGAAUCUUGGACAAUGGGCGCAAGCCUGAUCCAGCCAUGCCGCGUGAGUGAAGAAGGCCUUAGGGUUGUAAAACUCUUUCGCCGGUGAAGAUAAUGACGGUAACCGGAGAAGAAGCCCCGGCUAACUUCGUGCCAGCAGCCGCGGUAAUACGAAGGGGGCUAGCGUUGUUCGGAAUUACUGGGCGUAAAGCGCACGUAGGCGGGUUUGUAAGUAGGGGGUGAAAUCCCAGGGCUCAACCCUGGAACUGCCUUCUAGACUGCAAGCCUGGAGGUCAGGAGAGGCGAGUGGAAUACCGAGUGUAGAGGUGAAAUUCGUAGAUAUUCGGUGGAACACCAGUGGCGAAGGCGACUCGCUGGACUGAUACUGACGCUGAGGUGCGAAAGCGUGGGGAGCAAA
This 400-nucleotide ribosomal RNA is filed under the name uncultured bacterium. Its description in RNAcentral is "bacterial SSU rRNA". It matches the Rfam family "Bacterial small subunit ribosomal RNA", at positions 355 to 772 of the family's 1533-position model. The record is from RNAcentral.